Molecule: ribosomal RNA, 692 nt
Filed under: uncultured Omnitrophica bacterium
Lineage: Bacteria; Pseudomonadati; Candidatus Omnitrophota
Description: bacterial SSU rRNA
Rfam family: Bacterial small subunit ribosomal RNA
Source: RNAcentral
AUACCUGAUGUGUUUAGCGGCAUAAGCCGCUAUAAGUAAAGAUGGUUCGUAAGAGUUGUCGCUUAGAGAUGAGCUCGCGUCCUAUCAGCUAGUUGGUGAGGGUAACGGCCCACCAAGGCAAUUGACGGGUAGCUGGCCUGAGAGGGCGGUCAGCCACACGGGGACUGAGACACUGCCCCGACUCCUACGGGAGGCUGCAGUCGAGGAUCUUUAACAAUGGGCGAAAGCCCGACUAUGCGACGCCGCGUGAGGGAUGAAGGUUUUCGGAUCGUAAACCUCUUUCAAUAGGGAAGAAAACUCUGCUUAACAAGCAGAACUGACGGUACCUAUAGAAGAAGCCACGGCCAACUCCGUGCCAGCAGCCGCGGUAAUACGGGGGUGGCGAGCGUUACUCGGAUUUAUUGGGUGUAAAGGGCAAGUAGGCGUCCCGAAAAGUUAGGAGUGAAAUCCUUUGGCUUAACCAAAGAACUGCUCCUAAAACUGGCGGGAUUGAGGCUGGAAGAGGAGAGCGGAAUUCCCGGUGUAAGGGUGAAAUCUGUAGAUAUCGGGAGGAACACCAGUGGCGAAAGCGGCUCUCUGGUCUAGAUCUGACGCUGAAUUGCGAAAGCUAGGGUAGCAAACAGGAUUAGAUACCCUGGUAGUCCUGGCCGUAAACAAUGAGCACUAGGUGUUGAGAGUUUACUUUCAGCGCC